ACGAAGGGUGCAAGCGUUAAUCGGAAUUACUGGGCGUAAAGGGUGCGUAGGCGGUUCGUUAAGUCUGUCGUGAAAUCCCCGGGCUCAACCUGGGAAUGGCGAUGGAUACUGGCGAGCUAGAGUGUGUCAGAGGAUGGUGGAAUUCCCGGUGUAGCGGUGAAAUGCGUAGAUAUCGCUUGGAACGCCGAAGGUGAAAACAGGCUGCUGGGGUUGUGCCGACGCUGAGACACGAAAGCCAGGGGAGCAAACGGGA
RNAcentral lists this ribosomal RNA (253 nucleotides) under uncultured prokaryote. RNAcentral's name for it is "partial 16S ribosomal RNA". It matches the Rfam family "Bacterial small subunit ribosomal RNA", at positions 525 to 777 of the family's 1533-position model. The record is from RNAcentral.